RNAcentral lists this unclassified non-coding RNA (301 nucleotides) under Hevea brasiliensis (rubber tree). Lineage: Eukaryota; Viridiplantae; Streptophyta; Magnoliopsida; Malpighiales; Euphorbiaceae. The record is from RNAcentral.
GUCUGUCACCUGAGUUCUUGUUCUGAAACAAAAUUCAACUAAUGUCAUCCAAUCGACAAAGGGAAAGCAAAAUUUUAAUCACUUCCAUCCCAACUCUAUUGAGUUUCAAUACUCAUGCCCUAUGCCAGAUAAAAUAAGACAACCUUUCACCCCAAAUGUUUAACAUUAGUUCUUGAAGGCUUGCCCAAACCUUGCAUUGAAGCUAAUACAGUUCGCAUUGAAAAAGCACACUUCUCAUAAGGACAUUUUUGUUUUUCUAUGGUUGUACAUUUUCCAUAAGAACUUAUAAUACUAUUAUGUG